GCCUGGCUAUCUCAGUCAGUAGAGCAUGAGACUCUUAAUCUCAGGGUCAUGGGUUCUAGCCCCAUGUUGGGCG
RNAcentral lists this transfer RNA (73 nucleotides) under Oryctolagus cuniculus (rabbit). Its description in RNAcentral is "tRNA-Lys (CTT) (tRNA-Lys-CTT-21-1)". It matches the Rfam family "tRNA". From Rfam's summary of the family: Transfer RNA (tRNA) molecules are approximately 80 nucleotides in length. Their secondary structure includes four short double-helical elements and three loops (D, anti-codon, and T loops). Further hydrogen bonds mediate the characteristic L-shaped molecular structure. tRNAs have two regions of fundamental functional importance: the anti-codon, which is responsible for specific mRNA codon recognition, and the 3' end, to which the tRNAs corresponding amino acid is attached (by aminoacyl-tRNA synthetases). tRNAs cope with the degeneracy of the genetic code in two manners: having more than one tRNA (with a specific anti-codon) for a particular amino acid; and 'wobble' base-pairing, i.e. permitting non-standard base-pairing at the 3rd anti-codon position. Lineage: Eukaryota; Metazoa; Chordata; Mammalia; Lagomorpha; Leporidae. The record is from Rfam by way of RNAcentral.